Molecule: long non-coding RNA, 1048 nt
Organism: Balaenoptera musculus (blue whale)
Lineage: Eukaryota; Metazoa; Chordata; Mammalia; Artiodactyla; Balaenopteridae
Exons: 3
Source: RefSeq, a predicted model, not a curated record
UCUCAACCACUGCACCACCAGGGAAGCCCUUAUCUUUAAUUUUUAUUCCUCUGUAUGGUAUGUGUCUUUAUUCACUGGCUGCCUUCAUAAUUUCCUUUGUCUCUGGUUUUCAGCAGCUUGUAUAUAAUAUGCCUAUGGUGUGGGAGUACUUUUGGUAGGGGAGCACUUAUCCUGCUUGAUGUUCUUUGAAUGUCUUGAAACUGUUGUUUGGUAUCCGUCAUUCAUUUUGGAAUAUUCUCAUGUAUUAUUUCUCCUUAUUUUUUCUUCCUGGGAUGCCAAUUACACACAGGUUAGACCUUUUGUUAUUAUACCAUAUCUCUUGGAUGUUCUGUUGUGUUUUUCCACCCACUCUCUAUCCUUCCCCACUGUUCUGCAAUCCAUGCCAGAAUUGUUAUAAAUCCAGUUUCCACAGAUGUGAGGGUCUGACUGAAGAAACUUCAUUGCUGUUCUCCUCUUAUUCUCCAAAUCCUUGUGGGUUUAUCCCUUUAAAAGAUUGUUUUCUGCCAUUUUAGCGGUCUUGGGAUGGAGUGAAAGUAGACGCACAUAGUCAAUCUACCAUCUUUACCUGGAAGUCAAGCGUGAAUUUCAUUAUUUAAAUUAAGAUGAAGAUAAACUGAGGCACAGAAGAUUAAGUAAUUUUUCCAAAGAUUCAGAAAUAGAAAAUGACAGAACUUGGCUCCUUAACCACCAUAUGUAUUCUGACUACCUCCAACAAAUUGGAAGAUGGUGACUUUUAGGGAACAAAGUUUGUCAUCCUGAUGCACCAGGUCUUUAAUGAUGUCAAUAAAGAAACAGCCCACCCUUUGGUUAAAAGACUCUGAGCCUUCAAGGACCACUGGUUAUCCAGAGGAAGCCAUGGUUAUUCUGGUGAAGCACGAGGCCACGGUCGUUUUGAUCAGUCACUCAAUGGAGGGUCCAAAGCUUAAGCAGAAUAAACUCAGGACAGACAACACUGGAACUCUGGGAGUGUAACCUCACCAGCAGAUGAGGUAGUGAUGGAUGACUCCUGACUGUGGAGUCCUUUUCAUCUCUCAAUUUAUAUUCUGAG